This 443-nucleotide ribosomal RNA is filed under the name uncultured bacterium. RNAcentral describes it as "bacterial SSU rRNA". It matches the Rfam family "Bacterial small subunit ribosomal RNA", at positions 958 to 1400 of the family's 1533-position model. The record is from RNAcentral.
AACGCGAAGAACCUUACCUACCCUUGACAUCCAGAGAAUUCUGCAGAGAUGCGGAAGUGCCGCAAGGAACUCUGAGACAGGUGCUGCAUGGCUGUCGUCAGCUCGUGUUGUGAGAUGUUGGGUUAAGUCCCGUAACGAGCGCAACCCUUAUCCUUAGUUGCCAACAUGUAAUGGUGGGGACUCUAAGGAGACUGCUGGUGAUGAACCGGAGGAAGGCGGGGACGACGUCAAGUCAUCAUGGCCUUUAUGGGUAGGGCUACACACGUGCUACAAUGGGGCGUACAGAGGGUUGCCAACCUGCGAAGGGGAGCCAAUCCCGAAAAGCGCCUCGUAGUCCGGAUUGAAGUCUGCAACUCGACUUCAUGAAGUCGGAAUCGCUAGUAAUCGCGAAUCAGAACGUCGCGGUGAAUACGUUCCCGGGCCUUGUACACACCGUAGACGAC